Corapipo altera (White-ruffed manakin) is the source of this 301-nucleotide non-coding RNA. RefSeq annotates it as small Cajal body-specific RNA 2. Lineage: Eukaryota; Metazoa; Chordata; Aves; Passeriformes; Pipridae. The transcript has a single exon. The record is from RefSeq and is a predicted model, not a curated record.
GCAUGUGUGUGUGAGGGCAUGUGUGUGUGAGGGCAUGUGUGUGUGAGUGGAGUAUGUAACGGGCCGUGUGAGUGUGUAAGGGUGUGUGAGGGGUGUGAGAGUCUGUAAGUGAGGCGCCAGCCCCCUCCCCCCUACACGUUGAUCUUAUUCGAUCGGCCGGGCCCCGCCGGGCCGAGGUGAGAAGAAGGCGCCGCGAAGCCCCUGGGGCGCUGUGCGGCUGGGCCGGGCGGGAUGAGUCGAUCAGAUAGGCGAGGCCCAGGGCACUGCCCUGGCCCGUGAGCGCCCUGCGAUUCUGACCCGA